This 300-nucleotide ribosomal RNA is filed under the name Triticum aestivum (bread wheat). Its description in RNAcentral is "partial small subunit ribosomal RNA". The record is from RNAcentral. Lineage: Eukaryota; Viridiplantae; Streptophyta; Magnoliopsida; Poales; Poaceae.
AUGAGAUCAUAUGUCAUACUUUCUGUUUUCCCCACCGGGGUUUUUGGGAAAGUAUAUACGACACAUUUAUUGUUCUCUGAACUCUAUGGGUUUUCUCGUAUUGAGUUAAAAGAGACAAUAACCAUUAUAUGUUGCUUCAUUUUCUCCUUAUUUUUCCCAUUGGGUUUGAAGGAGUUUUGGCAACAUAUCAAACACUAUACUCCUCAUAUUUUUCCCACCGGGUUUUUAGAGGAGAUUAUUCCAAGGAUCGUCGAUCGCAAGCACAAGGAAGGAUUAGGGGGAGUGUUAGGAUUUAAUUAA